Molecule: long non-coding RNA, 2849 nt
Filed under: Canis lupus familiaris (dog)
Lineage: Eukaryota; Metazoa; Chordata; Mammalia; Carnivora; Canidae
Description: lncRNA (ENSCAFG00845018038.1)
Source: RNAcentral
UUUUUUCUUUUUUUUUUUUUUUCCCACAAGGUUUUCAACCUGCUUAAGCAUCUAUACCUGGAACUGACCCCUAUCCCUAAAAAGCCUCUUUUUUUGUUAGAUCAUAAAUCCGCCUGAUGAAGCGCUUUGUAUGCACUAAGCAAGCAUUCAGCAUCUGCCGAAUUAAAUGGCACUGAGCACACCUGCAGACACUGGAGGGCACCCACAUUAUCUCACAGUCCCGGAGCUGCUCUCUGGGGUGACAGGAAACCAACCCACUCCCUCCUCCCCAUGUGAAGACCGUCCUGUAAAUAAGGAGGUCCCCAAACCUGCCGCCAAGGCCCCGGCGGGCAUGGGGCAUGGGCCAUGGGCCAUAGGAACAUCCUUUCUCUUGAGGCCUUCUCUUGGGGCCUCAGAGCUCUUCCUGAGCCAGCACUGCAGGUGGCCAGGAUCAUGUGAUGGGGUUGCUGAGACACCGAACCCCACCGGCCUUUCCAGCCUAAGUUUUUCUCUCCUGGCCAUGCAUUCCAAGUCGCCUCCACCGUUCCUCACAUGCAAUGACUUCAGAGGCCCCGUGCCUCCGUGUCCCCGGGCUCUCAGUAUGGGAAAGCAGCUUGAGUCCCUCGAAGAUGACAUUCCACGCAGAGUCUAUCCGAGAGUGGAGGAGAGUCCCUGGCUUCCCCAGGUGAGCGCUCCGCUUGCGGGGGUGCAGACCCACGCGGGAGCGGCUGUGCUCCUGCCCGGGGCCACCCCGCCGGUCACACGCACCUGCGGGUACGUCAGCACACCUAGGUUGCCUUUCUACAGUCGUCCCCCCAAACCUUUGCCCAACUCCCUAUUCUAGCCUAUGGUCAUAGGAUGGAUUUUAACCGAAUCAUACUAUUUUACAUCCAAGUAAAUGUAAACGAUGCAAAGUCUAUGAUUCAACAGUGUCUUCUGGCUCUGUGUUUCCAUGUGGUAAGCGGAGCGUCUGUGCCCUUAGAGACGUCAUCAGCCAACAUGUUACUGCGGAUGCGCUUUCCCAGUGGGGCGUGGGAGCCCGCACCUUUGACGUUUGGUCGAGGAAUGUGGCCUGGGCCUCUGCCCAGCAUCCCUUCCAGCAGCGCGAAGCAAAUUCCUUGACCUCCAGAUCCCGUAGGAUGUAAAAGAAAUUUAUCUGUGUUGAAAAACACUCCCCGUAAUUCAAGAAAUAAACAAACACGUGAACAGAUAAGAGAAACUUGUCUGAUUUGGGCAGAGUCUCAGUUUUCAAAAACAGAGGAAGGCAGAAAGAGCAUCGGAAAAUGCAGCAAAUGCUGAUGCCAGCAGCUCCAAGACCAAGACUGAUUGGACACAAUCUCGUGUGGCAAAAGUUGUAUUUUUUAAAGAUUUUAUUUAUUUAUUCAUGAGAGACACACAGAGAGAGGCAGAGACACAGGCAGAGGGAGAAGCAGGCUCCAUGCAGGAAGCCCCAUGAGAGAGAGACUUGAUCCCAACACCCUGGGGUCAUGACCUGAGCCAAAGGCAGCCGCUCCACCACUGAGCCCCCCAGGGCUCCCCAAAAUCCUAUUCAAUGAGUUUCCUUUUUCUUCCUCCUCUUUUUUUAGUACUUUUUUCCCCCUGAAAAGUAGUUUUCUGCACCCGAUCGUUCGUUUGCAUGACACAAAAUACAGAAAAUAUAUGACUUUGGUUAUCUGCUUACUGCAAGAAAUUAGCACUUACUUAACAUAUACUGUUAAAAAAAAUAUACACACGCACAUGUGCACGGGUUUCCACUCCCUGGAACACAGUCACUGACAUCCAAAACUUGGAAAACAUUUAGACAAAAACCCACCAGUAAGUUUCCGGUUGCUACUGCCUAAACCAACUCUAACAUUUCCUAUGUUCCAAACGUGAUUGAUUUUAUGAAAGAAGAAAAUUAUGCAUAAGAAAUUUCAGAACUAAGCCAAGUAAAGGACAUCAACAAUAGGUACCCCCCCCAAAAAAAAGCAGCACUACACUUACUACUUCCAACUUCUACUUCUCUACCAGCAAAACAAGUAAACAUUUUCCCGCAAUUAUGAGGUUUCUUCAUUGUCUACACAGCUCGUCAGAAUCUGAAGCAACUAUUAAUCCACCUAUUUGUUCUUUCAACAGCGUUUGUCAAAGGGCCCCCUCUGCUACCAGCGCGGCUUUGGAGGCUAUUGUGGGAGCACGCGAAAGUGAACUAAACAGAGAUUUUUGUCAUCAAAGAAUUUUAAGCUAAUUUAUAAUUAUCGGUUCCUGGCUCCACUACUAUUACUUGGUGCUGGCUCAGAUUCUAUCUUUAUCUAGUCCAAGGCUGAGGCAGCUCUUAUAAAUUUCCUUCUCCUUGUCUCUUUCCCCCCUUUACUUUCUUGGUGUUUAAAGUCUUGUUACAUAUCUGAUCCUUUAUUUUAUUCUUAAUUUUUCUCAAACCAUUAAAGUCAAAAUUGGAUCUUAGAUCAAAGACAUUCUUAAGGUCUCUCUACUCAAUUUAUUUGGUGUUACUGUGUCUCGGAGAGUGCAAUGAAUUGCCUGUAGCAAGUGAAUAAAAUCAGAACCUUUGUACUCGAUGCUUCGAUACAUAUUAUUAAAAAUAAUAAAUGUCAAAAAAAUAUUGAAAGCCAGCCUUUAUUCCUGGCAGGCUGUUCUACAUUUGGCUACUAUAUUAAAAUGCUAAAAUGACUUGCUGUACCCAUUGAGCUGUGGAUCUGCCAGUUUUAAUAUCUCAUGGACAAUCCCAAAUGCAUAAUAAAUCUCUCCCCCUGCGGCCCCCCUACCCCCGCCAAAUCUGAAGAGGGUGGCGAGCCAAUCCUAGUAGCUGGGGAGACUUACAAGUAACUGUAGCCUGAAAAGAAAUGGCUCAUAUGGCAAAUUAAGCCAUUUGGCUU